AGUUUGAUCCUGGCUCAGGACGAACGCUGGCGGCGCGCCUAACACAUGCAAGUCGAACGGAGCUUAGAGAGCUUCUUUUUAAAGGUUUGGCGGGACGGGUUGAUAACGCGUAGUCACCCCUCCGGGAGUGGGGGCAACAGGUUGAAAAAAUUUUUUUAACACCCCAUAACGCCCCCGGUCCCCCUAUUGUAAGAAGAAAAAGUUUUUUUCCUUUUAGGAGGGCCCCCGCUCCAAAUUAGUUGGUGGGGGAGUAACGCGCCCCACAAGGGGAAUGUUUGGUACCCGGAUUGAGGUGUUAAACGGCCCACUUUGGGAUUGAACACCGGCCCAAGCUUCCUAGGGGGGGCACCAGUGGGGGAUUUUGCACAAUGGGGGAAACCCUUGAUGCAGCGACCCCGCGUGGAGAAGAAGGUUUUCGGAUUGUAAACUCCUGUCGUUAGGGACGAUAAUGACGGUACCUAACAAGAAAGCACCGGCUAACUACGUGCCAGCAGCCGCGGUAAAACGUAGGGUGCAAGCGUUGUCCGGAAUUACUGGGUGUAAAGGGAGCGCAGGCGGGAAGACAAGUUGGAAGUGAAAACCAUGGGCUCAACCCAUGAAUUGCUUUCAAAACUGUUUUUCUUGAGUAGUGCAGAGGUAGAUGGAAUUCCCGGUGUAGCGGUGGAAUGCGUAGAUAUCGGGAGGAACACCAGUGGCGAAGGCGGUCUACUGGGCACCAACUGACGCUGAGGCUCGAAAGCAUGGGUAGCAAACAGGAUUAGAUACCCUGGUAGUCCAUGCCGUAAACGAUGAUUACUAGGUGUUGGGGGAUUGACCCCCUCAGUGCCGCAGUUAACACAAUAAGUAAUCCACCUGGGGAGUACGACCGCAAGGUUGAAACUCAAAGGAAUUGACGGGGGCCCGCACAAGCAGUGGAGUAUGUGGUUUAAUUCGAAGCAACGCGAAGAACCUUACCAGGUCUUGACAUCCAAUGCAUAGCACAGAGAUGUGUGAAAUCCUUCGGGACAUCGAGACAGGUGGUGCAUGGUUGUCGUCAGCUCGUGUCGUGAGAUGUUGGGUUAAGUCCCGCAACGAGCGCAACCCUUAUUGCCAGUUACUACGUUAAGAGGACUCUGGCGAGACUGCCGUUGACAAAACGGAGGAAGGUGGGGAUGACGUCAAAUCAUCAUGCCCUUUAUGACCUGGGCUACACACGUACUACAAUGGCGUUAAACAAAGAGAAGCAAGACCGCGAGGUGGAGCAAAACUCAAAAACAACGUCUCAGUUCAGAUUGCAGGCUGCAACUCGCCUGCAUGAAGUCGGAAUUGCUAGUAAUCGCGGAUCAGCAUGCCGCGGUGAAUACGUUCCCGGGCCUUGUACACACCGCCC
This 1369-nucleotide ribosomal RNA is filed under the name uncultured bacterium. RNAcentral describes it as "bacterial SSU rRNA". It matches the Rfam family "Bacterial small subunit ribosomal RNA". The record is from RNAcentral.